This 240-nucleotide unclassified non-coding RNA is filed under the name soil metagenome. RNAcentral describes it as "partial contains 5.8S ribosomal RNA, internal transcribed spacer 2, and large subunit ribosomal RNA". The record is from RNAcentral.
AACCUUAUGGACCUGCGGGCGUAUACCUGCGGAAGGAUCAUUAUCGAGUUAGGGUUCCCACCGUGGGCCCGACCUCCCAACCCUAUGUCUACAACACCUUUGUCGUUGCUUCGGCGGACCGGUUUUACCUCUAUCUGGUCGUGACCGCCGGAGGGAGGUGUCGUCCCCCUCUGGAGAGCGUCCGUCGACGGCCUAACCACACAAUUCUUGUCCUUAACUGUGUCGUCUGAACACCUUUUU